AUUUCCGCUACAAGAGCAUUUUUGAUUCUUGCAGCCAGGAUCAUUUGUCCUGGAGCUACUGUUUAAGUGGAAACUGUGGAAGUCAGGCCAGUCUGGAAAGAGGCGUGAUACAUAACACUGGUGGAAAGUAUCCUUACAAUUCUAAUUGGUGCCAAAAAGAAGGUGUUAUGACCAGACGCCUUCCGAGUGAUAAGCCUUUUGAACUUACUGCAUCAAGCUGCUGUUGGGUGUCUUUGAGAAACUCUUUGUCAUAUUGGAACCUUCCAAUCCUGGUAGAUCUUGGACUUCGAUCUGACACGAAUGAAGCAAACCGUUCUCCAGUCACAACCAUCAUAUCAUUUGUCCGUGUACCACAGAACUGUCCUCGCACAUACAACUUGAUCGCUUUUGAUGCAGAUGAUGAUCACGUCAGAUGUAGAAGCAACAGAGGUUUACCCUCAGGGUUCCACCUUGAUCAAGAUUCUUGCGCUUUACACUAUCACAGCACCAGCACUGGAUCCUAUGGUUUCGAAAUAGUUUUAGAGGACUUCCCCAAUCAGAACAUCACUCUUACCUACAAUGACACAACCACAUCUUUCAAGGGUCCAAUCCAUGCAGGGUGGCCAUUGGUGCAUUCUCUCUCAACACCAGGUCCAUCCAUAAGUAGUACAACGGUACCAUCUCCAACCCAACAAUACGGCUACGGCUCUACCCCUUGGUCACAGAACAGCACUCCAUUGAGCAAACUUCCACUGCAAU
Clupea harengus (Atlantic herring) is the source of this 738-nucleotide long non-coding RNA. RefSeq lists it as uncharacterized. The record is from RefSeq and is a predicted model, not a curated record. Lineage: Eukaryota; Metazoa; Chordata; Actinopteri; Clupeiformes; Clupeidae. The transcript is spliced from 4 exons.